This 253-nucleotide ribosomal RNA is filed under the name uncultured bacterium. RNAcentral's name for it is "partial 16S ribosomal RNA". It matches the Rfam family "Bacterial small subunit ribosomal RNA", at positions 524 to 776 of the family's 1533-position model. The record is from RNAcentral.
UACGUAGGGUGCAAGCGUUGUCCGGAAUUAUUGGGCGUAAAGAGCUCGUAGGCGGUCUGUCGCGUCUGCUGUGAAAACUCGGGGCUUAACCCCGGGCCUGCAGUGGGUACGGGCAGGCUAGAGUGCGGUAGGGGAGACUGGAAUUCCUGGUGUAGCGGUGAAAUGCGCAGAUAUCAGGAGGAACACCGGUGGCGAAGGCGGGUCUCUGGGCCGUAACUGACGCUGAGGAGCGAAAGCAUGGGGAGCGAACAGG